CCAGACUCCUACGGGAGGCAGCAGUGGGGAAUAUUGCACAAUGGGGGAAACCCUGAUGCAGCAACGCCGCGUGAGUGAUGACGGCCUUCGGGUUGUAAAGCUCUGUCUUCAGGGACGAUAAUGACGGUACCUGUCGAAUAAGCCACGGCUAACUACGUGCCAGCAGCCGCGGUAAUACGUAGGUGGCAAGCGUUGUCCGGAUUUACUGGGUGUAGAGGGCGUGUAGCCGGGCUGACAAGUCAGAUGUGAAAUCCGGGGGCUCAACCCCCGAACUGCAUUUGAAACUGUUGGUCUUGAGUAUCGGAGAGGCAGGCGGAAUUCCUAGUGUAGCGGUGAAAUGCGUAGAUAUUAGGAAGAACACCAGUGGCGAAGGCGGCUUUCUGGACUGAAACUGUCGCUGAGGCACGAAGGCGUGGGGAGCGAACAGGAUUAGAUACCCUAGUACA
RNAcentral lists this ribosomal RNA (446 nucleotides) under uncultured bacterium. Its description in RNAcentral is "partial 16S ribosomal RNA". It matches the Rfam family "Bacterial small subunit ribosomal RNA", at positions 331 to 794 of the family's 1533-position model. The record is from RNAcentral.